Molecule: non-coding RNA, 1749 nt
Organism: Chlorocebus sabaeus (green monkey)
Lineage: Eukaryota; Metazoa; Chordata; Mammalia; Primates; Cercopithecidae
Source: RefSeq, a predicted model, not a curated record
UGCCAGCCACCGUGCUGGGCGGUGGAUUCCGGGAUGCCGAGUCUGUCUUCUUGGUUAGAAGGACAAAAACCUCUGCAGUGUAGAGAUUGUGGGCAGACCUAGGCUCCCCCACGGCAUCAGAGCUACCUGCCUCCAACCAACAAAUACUUACUAAGCGCCUACCAUAUACGCCUGGCACCCAGCUAGAUAUCAAGGGGGAACCAAGCCACAGUCCCUCGUCUCCGCAGGCAGAAACAGACGAGCACCUUCUGGAGAUUGUGCGGGCCGGGAAAACCUGCCACAGGUUGCUAAGACCAGCCGUACCCAGGAGACAGCAGGAUUCCCAGCAGCACCCAGCCCAGUAACGCCACCGACUCCCGCGAGCGAGGGCGGAACGGACAGGCACCGAGCAAGGCGCUUGAAGAACCUAUCGUUGUUAUUGCUGUUUUACAGAAGAAGAGACUAAGGCUGCAGACUGCUGAGAGUCCCUCAGCAUCAAGCCCAGGGAGACACUUCCGUGAGCCAGCAGGGUGUGCUGUUCAUCUCCAGUGGGAGUUUCAGCUGCUUCCUUCCUUGGGCCCUCACCACCACUGCUACUAACCUGUCACUUCUGCCUCCUGGUCAGAACACACGAUCUCUCCCUUGUCAAUCACAGACAGCAUCAAGACAGCACUUGGCAUCCUUUCAGCUAUCUGCAAGCCUUGCAGGGUAAGGAAUACAAUACUAAAUAUCUCAGAACCCAGGACUCUGUUGUGGCAUCCUGUAGGAGCUGCACCAGGGACCACCACAGUGAACGAUCACAGGAUAUCCAUGCCUCUACGCUCUGUUCUCUUUAGAGAUGAUAUUUAUACUACAAACUGAAAUGCCACAACCAAAAAGGGUAGGAGCCAAGAAUGAGGUUGCUGGAUCAGUGUUAGAGAUGACAUCCUAGAGAUGUUUUCAGGGUCGUCAAUCACACCGAAGACCUGCCACAUGCCAGGCACAUGUGUACCUCCUCUAAUGUCCACAAUGACUAGAAAGAAAUUUUAUCCCUACUUUACAAAGAUGGGAAAAGGAGGCCUAAGAGGGGUGAAGCUCCCCAGUUUGGGUUGUUUUCCUGUUUUGCUUCUUGAUCAAUUUCUCAUCCAUUUGAACUGCACUUGCUUGAUUCAAACGUCACCACAGAAUGAACUAGGACUGGAAUCCAUUAGUGCCCAUGCCCUCCCCAACACUCCAACUGCCUCCCUCCACAGGUUAUGAGGUGGCAGAAGAGAAUUCCAGAGAGGUUAGUGGUGUGUGUGAGGGCCCCUAAGGCAGGUCUACAGGCAGGCCAGCCUGCCAGCCUCACAGGCACACCUAGGAACAUUUGCACUGGUGAAAGUCUGUCUCAGGGCCUGCCAAGGGCACCUGCCGCAGGCAACACCUAAAGCUCUUCAUACCUUAAGAGAAAGUAAAUUCCAAGAUAUGAGUGGAAGACACCUCAACUUGCGUUUCCCAGCAAGACACCUGCGACUGCAGUCCCUUCUCCCUUUGUAGAGGAUAUUGGGUACUUUCUCUCUCUGCCAUUUCUCUCCACCUAGCAAGAGUGACUCUUCCAUUCAUUACCACAGGAGGAAAAGGUUGAAUAGUAGCACACAGCUGCUUAUGACCACAGAUGAAAACACUCUCGAUUGAUACAUUUUCCCCAUCUGCUUUAUUAUUUUUUUGAGACACAGUCUCACUCUGUCACCCAGGCUGGAGUACAGUGGCACGAUCUUGGCUCGCUGCAAUCUCUGUCUCCCAGGAUCAAGU